Molecule: ribosomal RNA, 440 nt
Filed under: uncultured bacterium
Lineage: Bacteria
Description: partial 16S ribosomal RNA
Rfam family: Bacterial small subunit ribosomal RNA
Source: RNAcentral
CCUACGGGUGGCAGCAGUGGGGAAUAUUGCACAAUGGGGGAAACCCUGAUGCAGCAACGCCGCGUGGGUGAAGAAGUAUUUCGGUAUGUAAAGCCCUAUCAGCAGGGAAGAGAAUGACGGUACCUGACUAAGAAGCCCCUGCUAACCACGUGCCAGCAGCCGCGGUAAAACGACGGGGGCAAGCGUUAGGCGGAUUUACUGGGUGUAAAGGGAGCGUAGACGGGUGUGCAAGUAUGAAGUGAAAGCCCUCGGCUCAAAUGCUGACCGGCUUUGGAAACUGUGUAACUGGAGUGCUGGAGAGGUAAGCGGAAUUCCUGGUGUAGCGGUGAAAUGCGUAGAUAUCAGGAGGAACACCGGCGGCGAAGGCGGCUUACUGGACAGUAACUGACGUUGAGGCUCGAAAGCGUGGGGAGCAAACAGGAUUAGAUACCCGUGUAGUC